AUCCAACACACAGCUCAGUCAGUAGAGCGUGAGCCUCUUAAAUUCAAGGUUGUGGGUUCGAACCCCAUGUUGGGCA
This is a non-coding RNA of Podarcis lilfordi (Lilford's wall lizard), 76 nucleotides long. The record is from the annotation of a GenBank genome assembly. NCBI's taxonomy places the organism in Eukaryota, Metazoa, Chordata, Lepidosauria, Squamata, Lacertidae.